This 484-nucleotide ribosomal RNA is filed under the name uncultured bacterium. RNAcentral's name for it is "bacterial SSU rRNA". It matches the Rfam family "Bacterial small subunit ribosomal RNA", at positions 28 to 524 of the family's 1533-position model. The record is from RNAcentral.
GACGAACGCUGGCGGCGUGCUUAACACAUGCAAGUCAAGGGGCCCGCAAGGGUAACCGGCGAACGGGUGCGUAACACGUGAGCAAUCUGCCUCGAUGUGGGGGAUAGCCGGCCCAACGGCCGGGUAAUACCGCAUACGCUCUCUGGGUGGCAUCACUUGGAGAGGAAACAUUUUUGGCAUUGAGAGGAGCUCGCGGCCUAUCAGCUAGUUGGUGGGGUAAUGGCCUACCAAGGCUUUGACGGGUAGCUGGUCUGAGAGGAUGGCCAGCCACAUUGGGACUGAGAUACGGCCCAGACUCCUACGGGAGGCAGCAGUGGGGAAUAUUGCGCAAUGGCCGAAAGGCUGACGCAGCGACGCCGCGUGGGGGGAUGAAGCAUUUCGGUGUGUAAACCCCUGUUGCCCGGGACGAACAACUGGUUUUGACCAGUCUGACGGUACCGGGUGAGGAAGCACCGGCUAACUCCGUGCCAGCAGCCGCGGUAAU